Molecule: long non-coding RNA, 1261 nt
Organism: Mesocricetus auratus (golden hamster)
Lineage: Eukaryota; Metazoa; Chordata; Mammalia; Rodentia; Cricetidae
Exons: 5
Source: RefSeq, a predicted model, not a curated record
GGCAAGAGCCGCUACCUCCGGCCGCUCGUUGGCUGGAUCGCUCGUCACUCCGGCCUGUCCACCAAAUGGGGCGCCAGCUAGAGGCACUCUGGGAACGACGUUGACGCGAGGGGUGUCACCGAAGGGAGGGGCUCGCCAGCCUAAGCCAGGAGACCUGUCAGAGUCCGGGACUGCGCCAUUCGACUGCGGCACGACUCGUCUGUCCCCUGCCUGCUUCUAGGCCGAGACGAGACCCCCGAACAGGCCUUGUCGCCUAGGCCCUGGGCCUGUUUCCGCUGCCGCGGCUUCCUGCGUGUGGCCUCCGUGGCCCCGCCCCUGCCGCACCUCCGCCUCCGCAGCCACUGCAGUCCCUGCCGCUGCGGGUCCCCUGCCACCGCCACAGCCACCGCCGCCGCCGCCGCCGCCGCCGCCCCCGCCGCCUGAGCUGCCCGGGCCUUCGCAUUCGCCUUCAGAGCAUCCAUCAUAAUUCUUCAACUUGAAGAUACCAAUGGACAUACUGGAGAGGACUGGGACAGGAGAAAGAGGAGAUCAUGAAGGAAGAAGGGGAAAGUGGAAGUAGAUAAGGGAAAGAAAAAAGGGUGACAGCAUUUUUGAGCCAUAUAUCACAGCUGGUCCCAAGAGAUGAGAAUGAUGCUAAACUGGAGAGAAUACAGCUCUAGGAUGAGAAUAAAGGAAAGGCGGCUAGCUGAGAUCCUCACCCAAACAUUUAGGAGGUCCAUGAGGAGUUUUCAAUUUCUCAAGAGGACUUUCAACAUCUGACAUCAGUGCAUGAUAGAAUUUGGCAGAAGCAGAUUGCCAUUUCUCGGACUACAACUUCAGCAAAAUCACGUCAUUAGGAGACCAGAGGAAAACAGAAUUUUUGACUCUACCAAGAAUAAGAAAGAAUAUCUUCUGCCUGACAUUUUCAAGUUAGACAUCAGCAUUUUCCUGCCUUCACAUUGGAGCUCAAACAUUGGCUUUUCUUUUUAUUUAGCCUGCCAGAAUUUUGACAUGAGUUAUAUCAUUUUUUCUUUUGCUUUUCCAGCAAAAUUAAAAAACUUUAAGGGAAUGGACAAUUUUCUGUAUAGCUAUCACUUGCCAAAAUUAAAUCAAGAACAUAUAAGCAAUUUAAAUAGACCUAUAAUUCCUAUGGAAAUAGAAGCAGUCAUCAAAAUUAUCCCAACCACAAAAAAGCCCAGGUGAAGCUGGCCUCAGUGCAGAAAUCUAACAGAAAUUCAAAGAGCAGCUUAUACUAAUUCUUCUCAAAGUAUUCCAUGCAAUA